AAAGCGCUACUCCGAUAGUCUGAUAAUAACAGAAUCGGUCUGCUAUGUUGCUCGACAUCAUCUUCCCGAUGUCUUCGUUGUAUUUAUGAUCUACGUCCGUUGUUGGUCUUUCUCCUUCAUCGACAGGUAACAUUUCAUCUUAUUAUUCUUGUUUAUGCGUAAUUUAGGGUUUGAAGUCAUUUACCCCCAAAUAAAUGAUAAUGCACAUAAAGUUCAGUUCCACCCUCUAGUGUAUUAUACUAUUCUUCUCUCUGUUUUGUUGUUUUUUGUGGUUCUGUGAAUUUUAAACAAGGUUUAAUAUAUAAUAUAAUAAUAUAUAAACAAAUGAUCAAAAAAAAGUUUGAUUUAAGUGUGUUUUGUCAUUUGUGUUCGUAGUGUCCCGUGUUUACUAGGUUUUUGGGCAAUUUAAAUAUGAUAAAUUAUUAAUUUGAUGAUGAUAAAGUGGAGCUGCUCAACACGCGAGAUUUGAUCAUGCUAUUUUUAUUAGUUAAGAAGCCAAAAGAAUCGCAUUUUGAUUGAAAUCCAAAAACUAUAUCAUAUAUGACCAAUAGAGGAUGCAAAAGUUGUAUGAAGCUGCAUAUAGGACAGGAACACACACUUGGUAGAAAUGAAAUGGUAAUAAUGCUAAACCCCUCCAUAUUGGAAAACAAGCAUGUAUGUUUCACAAAAGUAACUCAGUGAGUGCCUAUAGAGUGUCUGUAUGUAACAAAUAAACUAAGUUGUCCAUAUUGGUAAUGAAAUGUACGUACAUUGCUAUUAUGAGUUUACAUAUUUUGUUAUUAUGGUAAUAAAACAAGAUACGUUGUUUAUACCAGUAAAAAAUAAAGAGCAUUGUCUAUAUCAGUAAGAAAAUAUAAGGUACAAUGUUAUUCCUUGGAAUUUGCCCCUUAAAAUAUCACAUCCUAUUUUUGUUUCUUUCUACUGUAGCAUUGUACUUUCAAGUUUUUCCUAAUUAAUGCAUUGUACUUUGAAAAAUCCAUUACAUUAUAUAUUCAAAAAACUUCAUUAGGACUACGGGUGUAAACGAGCCGAGCCUAGCCCAAGUCUGACCAAGCUCGAGCUCCGCUCAUUUAAUUUUGAGGGACAUCGUGCUCGAUUCGAGCCUUAAAAUGAAGCUCGAGCUCGGCUCGUGAACAAUUUAGUGGGCUCGCGAGCCUAAACAAGCUUAAACGAGUCUGUAUACAUACAUACAUACAUACAUACAUAGAUACAUACAUACAUCCAUACAUACAAACACACACACACACANNNNNNNNNNNNNNNNNNNNNNNNNNNNNNNNNNNNNNNNNNNNNNNNNNNNNNNNNNNNNNNNNNNNNNNNNNNNNNNNNGUUUAGGCUCGCGAGCCCACUAAUUGAAGCUCGACUCGAGCUCGUUUAAUAAAUGAGCCUCAUAUUUAGGCCCGUUUAACUCGAUCUCGAGUAGCUUACGAGUAGCUCGGCUCCCUUACACCCCUAAUUAGGACAUUCUACUUUGAAAAAUAUACCAAGUUGUAGUGGUAAAAAUUGUUUUGUAUUUGUAUUUGGAUGACAUUGUUUUUAUUGGGUAGUUUUCAAAGUGCACUAUUGUAAUGGAAGAAAUGAAAGUAGGAUGUUGUAAAAUAAUGAUAGUUGAUUCGUAUAGUCGCCUCAAAAAAUAUAUAUUUACAUUUAUAUUAUGUUAUAUUGCCUGGUACUCAUUGUAUGUUGUUUCUAUGUUAAUAAAAGAGUAAAUUACACGAAUAGUCCCUAUGGUUUGGGGUAAUUUGCAUGUUUGGUCCCUAACUUAUGUUUUUAACUCGGAAGGUCCCUAUUGUUUGUUUUUGUUACGCACUUGGUCCAUACUAUUUGUUUUUGUUACGCUCUUUGUCCCUGUCUUACUUAAAAAAAAUUAUUAUUUAAAUAGGGAAAAAUGGUGGGGUAGGCAAUGUAAGGUUAGAGGGAUGGGGUUGGGGGAGUGUUUAUUUAAAUAAAUUAAAAAAUCAAGGAGAAAAUAGUCUUUUUAGGUAAGACAGGGACCAAAUGCGUAAAAAAAACAAACAGUAGGGACCUUUCGAGUUAAAAAAAUAAGUUAGGGACUAAACACGUAAAUUACCCUAAACCAUAGGGACCAUUCGUGUAAUUAAUGAUAGUUGAUUCAUAUACAAUAGUAUUUCUCUAUACACAAUAAUUGAUGUUUUAGAAUAUUGUACUUUAUAACUUUAUAAAUCAUAAGUUUUUAUGUAUGGAGAAAAAAAAUAGAAUGAACACUUAAAAAAUAGUUCCUAAGGUCAUCCGUUAUACACACCACUAACCAUUAUAAUGGUGGGUGUCACAUCAUCAUCAGUUCACCACAUUCGCUACCACUAAUCAUGGGAUACCUACCACUAAACACACCACUUCACUUCAUUUUUUUAAUUAAAUUUAAAUAAAAAAUACAUAAAAAAUCAUAUAAUUUUUUUAAAUACUAAUUUCUUUAAUUUAAAAUACCAAAUUACAUUAAUUUAAAUACAAAAAAUUAAAAAACAUUAAAAAUAAAAAUACAACUUCAAACUAUAUUACUUAAUUAACAUAGAAUAAAAAAAACAUUACAUUAACUUAAUAACCUAAUUUAUAUAAAAAAAAAAAUAAAAAAAAAAAAAAAAAAAAAAAAAAAAAAAAAAAAAAAAAUUUAAGUAAAAAAACUAAUCUUAGUUCAUGUUGAGUUCGUACAAAUGAUCUGCGACAUCUUCUCGAAGAUUGAAACACGUUUCGCUGUUAUGAAUUUCAACAACUCGUGAUAUAAAUUCAUUUGUUCCGGAUACGAACUCUUCAAGCGGGAUGACGACGUCGUCCAGAUCGUACGUGCAAAUCGCUCGACCUUGAUCUUCAAUGAUCAUAUUAUGCAUUAUAAUAAAUGUUAGGACCAUUCGUUUAAUUCUAUCCUUAUCCCAAAGUCGUGUAGCGGAUUUCACUAUACGCCACGUCUGCUUGAGGAUUCAAAAUGCCCUCUCGAUAUCCUUUUUCGUUGAUUCUUGUCUCUUUGUGAACAACUUUGCCUUUUCACCUUGAGGAACCAAAUAUGCCUUCAUAAGUGUAGAAUAAUCCGGGUAUAUCCCAUCACAAAGGUAGUAACCGUAUUUGUACGAAUGUUCAUUUAUUGUGAACGUCAUGUCAGGUGCUUUGCCGGUCCAAAGAUCGUUAAAAAGUGUAGAUUGGCCAAGAACGUUAAUGUCGUUGUUAGACCCCGCGAUUCCAAAAAAAGAAUGUCAUAUCUAUAAAUCCUGAGAUGUGAUAGCUUCUAGGAUUAUACUUGGUUCACCUAUAUCUUCUCGAGUGAAUUAACCACAUCAUGCAUUUGGACAUUUUACAAUCUAGACUACCAAACAUACCUAAAAAUUCAUGCCUCUCUUCAUGAGCCGAAUAUAAUCACUCAAUAUUAAAUGGAGUUGGUUUACACAAAUAUUCUUGAUGAAAAACCUCAUAUACACAUGCGCAAAACCAUACACAAUCAAUUGCGUUCCUCUCGGAUACUUAGAAGUAUUUGUCAGAUGUAUUAAAUGUUAUACCGUAUCUCAAAUACCUAAGCGCAACCGCAUACUUUUGUAUACUACUAAAACCUAUUCUUCCACUAGCGUCAGAUUUUUGUUUGAAAAAACCAUAACGAGCUUCUAAAACAUUACUAAUACGUAAAACAUCGCCUUAUUUGACGAAAACGACGUUCGAAUGUGUCUUCAUUAGAAAGACAGUUAUCGGCGAAGUAAUCACGUAUCAAUAAGUCGUGCACGGCUUGACGAUCACGAUUGACAACCGCCCUUGUAUGAACAAUAUUCGAAUUUUCUUCAUCGUGAAUGUGUUGCACAACAUUGAAGAAGGUCGGGAUGAAUUCACCGUCAUCAUCUUAGUCAAAAAAUGUUAACACUUCCAAAUCUUUAUGUGUUUUUUGGUUUAGAAUGAGAGUGAAAUGUUAUGAAAUGUAAGUAGAAGUGUGAGGAUUUUAUUUAUAUAGGUAUCAAGUUUUUGAAAAAAAAAACAAUUUGACCAUUCAAACGGUCAAAAGAAGCAAAUUAAAUACUCAUUGGUCGUUUCAUUUCGUCGUCGGGGACACGAGAUAUCACGACCACGGUCGAUCACGACCGGCCGUGGUGGUGUGCACGGUCAUGGUCGUGGUCCACAUAAACAACAAAGGUGCUCGUGUCGAGUACACCAAUGGUCUAACAAAUACUCUAUUAACCGGUUGAAAGUAAAGGAAAUUGUGACAAUAAAUGAUUAGCUAAUAACUUCACUGGAAAUUUAUUAUUAUAAUAAUUACAAAAUGGUAAACCUGAUUGAUGAAUAAUAGUUAAGCAGCAAGAAUUUUAAGUCAAUAAUGAUGAGCAUUUCAAGAGUUGAGUCAUCAUUUCUUUCUCUUGGUUGAUGCCAAACGGUCCACACAAUGUGUUGAUAGUCUCGAGUCUCGACCCCGAUUAAUAAAAUAUCCUUCAGUCAAAGUCAAACCAUUUAAUUUAUUAUUAGAAAAUUAGUUAAAAUUUUAUAUUUUUUUUGAUAAUCUUCAAACCAUUAGACUACUAGGUGUGGGCAACAUGUUAUUACAUGUUAUCACACUUAAAUUGUCCACCUCAUCAUUCUAGUCACAAUUUGGUAUUAUAACACAAAGAAUGAAAAUGGACAAUAUCAAAUAACAUGAAAUAACACAUACUAUUUUCUAUUUUUUUUUUUAUUUUUUUUUUGAUGUUUUUAAUUUCUAUUAUUCUAAUUUGUUUUAUUUUUUUAUUUACUUCAUAUAUUUCUAAUUCGUUUUAUUUUUUUAAUAUAUGUCAUAUAUUUAUAAAAAAACAUAUAAAUUAAUAAAACAUAAUUUCAUUAACUAGAAAAUUAAAAACAUCAUACAAACUUAAAAAAAACAUUACAAACCAAAAAAAAACAUUGAAAAAAAAACACACGAUAGUCAUAAUAAUUAAAAAAAAACACCGACAAACUAUUCUUCGCCCAAGUAUUUUUUCUCUAUCUGUGCCUUCAUCCUCCGUAUCACUUCAGCUCGUCUCGGUGGUAAAUUUUCUUCGUUUGUUGUAAGAAUUGCCAAAUCCUUCGACAUGCGAUCUUCUUGGGCUUCUUGACGAAGGAAAUCCAAAUGCCCCCGUUGCAAUUCGUAUCUUUUAUUUGCGAUUUCUGUGUGGGCAUCGAAUUUUUUUUCAUUUCCUCGUGCUCUCGAAGCCGAAUUUCAUUCUUCUCCGCAUGUCGUUGAGCGCGUUUCGCUUUGUCGCGUCCCAUAGGUCGUCGUGGCGGAGAGAUUUCCUCGAUGUCGUCAAACUCGUCCGGGAUCUCAUCGGUGUCCGCGUUGAGGUCGAUGUUCGUGUGUUCGUCAGAAACGUCAACCGAACCCGAACCACGAGACCUUUUGGAUUGUUGUUCCGAUGAUGUUGGCGUUUUCAUCCAUUUUGGAUCUUUCCUCACUAACUCCCAUACUUUUUCAUACUCAAAUACGUGCCCCAUUUGCACGUGAUAUUCCUCCCUCGCGGCUCUAAACACAUCGAAAUCAUUGGCACCACUCUGACGUUGCGAAGAAAGUUUGUUAUAUAUGGAAUUGAAUUUGGUGCACUUCCGGCUAAUUUGAGUCCAUUUGCCACUAAGCAUAUCAUUAUUGCGAUAUGUGUCACCCUUGUUCAAAAUUGUGCGGAAUUUGACGAUUACGGCAUCCCAAAAAGCAACUCUCUUCAUAUCGUUCCCCAUAGUUGGUUGUUUUGAAGUACCGCACCAAGCCGUNUCUUUCCCUUUCUUUUUUGGUCUUCCUUUUUUUUUCCUAAUGCUCUCUGACUACCACCAGCUUGCGUCUCGACAACGGGUUCUUGCGUGGGUGUGGGUUGUGUGACUGUUUGGCGCAUGGGACCGAACGUGGUAAAAAGGUUUUGUUGAAUGUUUGCACUUUGUUGCAUAAAUGGCGAGGUAGGGAAUUGUAUUGGGGGUGAGGUGGUAUUGAAAAAAUUACCGGAAUAUGAAAUUUGUGGUGAGUUUUGAGAGUUUAGAAGGUUGAUGUAUCCCUCGUAUCCUGCAAAACCCAAUGGAGUGGAUGUGUUUGUCUUCGGAGGAGGGGUAUUCGGGUUUUGAUCCAUAGAGGGUAAUUUUUUUUGAAUGAAAUAGAUAUGGAUAUAGAUAAAUAGAGAUAGAGAGGUAAAAUGAUAUACAUAUUUGUUGAUAUAUAUAAAGUAAUUUUUUUUUAUUAAUUCUACCGUAUGCAACGGUAUUAUUACCGUUUUUCAACGGCUAAAAAAUAAAAAAGGUUCGAAUUAUACACGUUGUGGCUCGUUAUCGUGGUAACAUCUCAUGGCAUAACGCGUCCCUGGGGCGGUGUUCCGCGCCAUGGCGCCGUUAAGGGCGUAUGCCACGUCAGAUAACGCGGCUACCGCGUUGCCCACACCCGAGCGUCUUACACAACUUUAACAUCAAAAAUAACUAAAUAGGUAUAUUACUUUUUGUGCAACUUAAUUGCAUAGAAUUUCAAAAAUAACAAUAACGUUAUAAAGUGUAUUAUUAGACAAUCAUAAUCAAAAUUAAAAUUUUUCAUAAAUAAUUAAUUUUAAGUAUGUAAAUGUGUUUUAAAUAUUUAAAAAAUAUUAAAUUUUAAAAUACCGUUUGAUACAUAAAAUUUAAAUUUAAGAUAUAUCAUAAUUUAAUAUCAAUUUUAACUAUAAUAUAACAUGUAACAAAUAAGACAUAUAUAAUAGCAGUAUACAAAUAAUAAACUGAAAAUACAUCAAAUUCAAAGUUGAAAGUUGAAACACCCAUGUAUAAAAGUUGAAAGUUCCAACAACAAUGUUGGUGUUAAUGAACACUAUAACAUUAUAUUUGGUAUUUUAAUAUCCACUUUUUAUGUAGCAAUUGUGUUGAACCGGAACACUUUUGCAUCAAAUAUGGUUUUUAAAAUGAAAUUUGUUGUUAGAUUGAGGAUGUUCUAAUGUAUUAUAAAUUAUUAUCUACCUUUUUAUUAUUUGUUUGAAUUAUUUUUAUUUACAACUUAGUAGAAAUAAUAAAACAGCCGCACCAAGUAAUUUUUAUAACGGGUCAUGAAGUCAACACAAACUUGACUGGGUUGCUAACAGUUUUCUAUUUUUUAAAUAAGUUUUCAAAAACUAUAUUAUUCAAAAGUCAUUUCCAUUUUAAAAUAUGCGUACGUUUUUUCCAAAAUUCUGGGGAAAACCAAAAAAAAGGUAAAUCAAUCGUUUUGCAUGCAUUUAAUACGUUAACGGUGUAAAUUAAAAAAACCAAUGAUGCAAGAUUUGAAAAUUAUAAAGACCGGUGAUAUAGCGUUUUGCAAUAUUGUCAUGAAGUUGCUAUUUUUUUUUUUAAAUGAAGUUAUUUUUUUGAAAAUCACGAGUACCAUUAUUGAAAUUCUAUCUAAUUUUAAUUAUAAACGAAAAUUUAAAAAUUAUUCAAUUUCUUUUAUCAAACUGUAUUCUAAUUUAACAUGUGGUCGUAUUACUCAAUUUUUUAUAUACCAUUCUCACCCCUAAUAAUUAUUGUUUUUAUGGUUAGAAGUUAUGUUGUAUUUAAAAAUAAUAAAAUAUAUUUUUUCAAAGAAUGUUUUUGAAGAUUUUUUAGAUAUUGAUGUGAGAAAAAAUUGAAAUAUGAGUUGUUUUUCUGAAGAAAAUAUAAUAGUUUUUUUCUGAAAUCAUCCGUAUAUGUUAUUGGAUAUUGAGUUCGACAUCUUCCGGAUUGUAUAUUUAUCAAAUUGGGUUUUUUACUUUAGUCCAUCUGAAAAUGAUGCAACAUUUAAUAUAUUUACAAGAAUGAUGACAAAAAAUAAAACUUAUAAUAAAAUCAAAUACUAUCUUAUAUUAUAAGUAUUAAUCCUGCGUAACAAAAACAAUAUCCAAAGAAAAAAAACAUUCUAAUAUCUCGUAAUAUAUGUAGAUAACAAAUGUGAUUUGCCAAAUCGAACCGACUAGAAACGAAUCUGCUUAUUCAGCGGAUGAGCUGACGCAUAUUCAACCGGCGGGAUCACCAAUAACAUAAGAAGCGCCAGAAUCCCCACCGGAAAGAACAUCAACAUCAUCGCCGGUGGCGGCAAUGGCGGAAGCAUUGGCGGCACAACCAGAAGCGACGCGGUUACGAUAAUAAGUAAGCCCACCAACUUCAUAUCGAGUCUCUUCUUCUGUAUCUCUCGUUUUUGCGUUCAUAAACUUGGAGUUUUCGCUUCCUGUUAUCAGAGAUAGAGAUCCUGCUUUGAGCUUCUGUUAAUGGAGAAGCGACCAUGGUUAUUUAAACAGUUGCAAAGAUGAGUGAGGAAUCAGAAGAGAAUCAAAAUGUUGAUAACAUCAAAUCCCGAUGCGAUACGUCGUGCAGA
RNAcentral lists this long non-coding RNA (8275 nucleotides) under Lactuca sativa (garden lettuce). RNAcentral describes it as "long non-coding RNA (LSAT_LNC002102)". The record is from RNAcentral. Lineage: Eukaryota; Viridiplantae; Streptophyta; Magnoliopsida; Asterales; Asteraceae.